Molecule: RNA transcript, 2741 nt
Organism: Globicephala melas (long-finned pilot whale)
Lineage: Eukaryota; Metazoa; Chordata; Mammalia; Artiodactyla; Delphinidae
Source: RefSeq, a predicted model, not a curated record
CGCCGCGGGCCUGUCAGGUGAGCUCAGCCCCCAGCGCGUGUGAGCCUACGGAACGCUGGGGCUGAGGCGGCAUGGCUCCGGACCGGGGCCUGGCCUCGGCGACACCGUGGCCGCGGGAGAAGCCCAGGACAGGGACCCAGGCGGGGGCUCCCGGCCCCGGUACCGUCGGAGCCCGUCGCUUCCUGCUUUGUCUCUACCUGGUGGGAUUCCUGGCUCCUCCUGCGGCGUUUUGCAGUUCUUUUCCAGCACAUUGGUGUGCACCAUGCUGGUCCUGAGGCCUCGGCGUCCAGUCAUUCGUGCAGUACAAACAGAAUGGUCAGUUUUGUCCCAGGGAUUGAUCAGCUGUGACCUUGGUCUACAUAGCUGGUCUCACAGUUCUGAUGCCCUUCGGACCAGCCUAGGUGGCGCCUUGGGUCGGAUGCCUUCGUUCAUGUGGUCGCCCCGCAUGGAGCUAAAGUGGCCUUUGGAGAGGAGGGGCUGGCAGAGCACGCCUGGGGCCUGGGGGCCCCCCUCUUUGCUGUGGGCAGCUGGGGAGCUGCAGGGCUGCGCUUGCCUGGAAUCAGCAUCUGCCUCGUUCUUCCAUUCCAUUUUAUAGGCCUGGGGGGCUUUCUUUGAGAACUGUUCUGGCAAGAAGCGCCUGGCUCGGGGCUGCAGGUUGAGGACGGUGGUCCCGACGUCUGGGUCUGAGUCACUGCUGUUGCCACCUGCCAGAGAGCAAAAGAAGGACAGCGUGGGCGGGCCUUUUAGGGAGAAGGUGUUACAGGCGACUGGCCAAUACAUUUGUGGGUCUGGCACCUGCUGUGCCCUCCCUGGGGCUCUGGGGGUCGGGCAGGGAGGCCAGAGGGCUCACCCCGACUCCAGCUGAGUCCUGGGCGCGUGCAUAAGUCCCAUGAGCACGCAUAUCCACAAGUGUGUACUCUUGCUAAUUCUGAAGAGCUUCCCAUGUGCCAGCCACUGUCCUAAGCGCUUUUAAAUGCAUUAACCUACUGAAUCCUCAUAACCACCCACUUUACAUAUGAAGUAACCGAGGUUCAAAAGAUAUUAGUAAGUGGUGGAGCUGGAUGUCAAACUGAGACCACCUGGCGGCAGCUGUGCGCUCACCUGCCCCGUCAGAACGGCCCCAGGGGGCUCAGUUCAGUGUCUGGCUCACGGUAAACAGAUCAGUAAUUAGCUGCUAUUAUGAAGACUCUUGUCUUGAUCUAGGAUGUACAAUCUCAUGCACAGCUUUAUUUCCUUUAUAUUUUCAUAAAAUGGUCAGAACACCAAUAUGGCUUGCAAUCUACAUAAAGAUUACCAUCGAAUGAAGAGAUGUUAGCCGUCAUGUCAAAGCUUUAAUAAUUACAGCCAGAAGUCAAUUAUAUAGUUGCCUUUAUGAAAAUAUAUUAAAAUUAUUAUGAACAUUUAAAGUUAGAAAUGUUGUAAGAGUAACAGAAUUAAAUUUAAACCUUUGAAGACUGACAGCUUUCUAUUUACCUGUUCAUCAGCCACACACAGUGACAUCUGCUUUUGCUACAUCGAAUAGAAUCAAAUAACUGAUUGAAUUACGUAUAACGUGCACAGAACGCCAUUCCAAAAGGAUGCAACACUAAUAAAAGGUCACCAAAUUAUUAUUAUAGAUUUGCAAACGACUGAACUCAUUCAUUGUCCUUAAAAGAGAAGGAAAAAUGUUCUAUUUUAUAAACACUAAUAAAUAAGUUUAAAGUCUUUUUGCUCCAGCUGUAUUCAGUACCUGCAUUAGAAAUAUUCUUUUUCUUUUGUAGCUUUUCUGGAAGCUUUGUAUUUUUUGGUAAGGAUAAAUAUCGGGAGGUUGAGGUGGAAACCUGUAAAAAAAAAUAGAAAACCUUGUUUAGAUGACACACAUGUCAUUUAUUGUAUGUUACGGGCUUAGAAUUCUAUGUCAAACCUAACCUUGGUGUUAAAAAUUAAAAUGUUAGCUCUAGAUUCCGAAACUACUGGGUGAGGAGCUGUAGGGAUGGGGAAUAAAUUUCCAAGUAAUAGUCAUUUUAUUUAAAAUAGGUAAAACCUCUCCUAAAAUAUCAUGGAAAUCAGUACUACUAAGGAAAACAGAAAUGAAGUGGGACCCUUAGGAACAAGGUAUGAAAACCACCGGCUUUUCUUAAAGAAAAGCUACAGAAACACCCACUUAUAAAAGCAUUGCUAAAAAAGACUUAGAACCUACAUGGAUAGGGAGGAAGAUACAUGAAAAAUGUAGCAUGUUUAAGUUGUAUUUACUUUCACAAAUCUUGAAAAUGACAGAACAGAAAGUAUUACUAUAGCCAACGUGCUGGCACUUGUGGCAUCCAAAGCCACAGUCUCUAGUUUCUUUAACUUUUAAUCGAUGCUGCCACAUUUCACAUGUAAAAAAAAAUAAUAUUGUGCACACAUAACCGUUUUGGUCUCUGACAGCUCAGUAUAGAACAUUAUUGAGAAUGAGAUGCACUGCCUGCUAUGUCCGAUCAAUCAAUCAGAAUAUCCUUUUAAAGUGGCUUCCUUAUCUAUGGCAAUGCCCUGGGCCAAGUCGAAUGCUGAGCACACAGCAUCUGAAACUCCCCUGACAUGCGCACGUGCACACACACACACACGGCCUCCUAGAAGUUUCCACACAUGCACGCACGGCAGCCCCCCUUCAGGCUGCACCCUCUCCCUGGAAAGGUCAAGACUCCAAAUGAAGCCUGGCCCUUCCAUUCAGUUUAAAACUGUACCCUGACAGGGAUAUCAGCUCCGUGCUUUGUGACCACCUG